Molecule: ribosomal RNA, 301 nt
Filed under: uncultured bacterium
Lineage: Bacteria
Description: partial 16S ribosomal RNA
Rfam family: Bacterial small subunit ribosomal RNA
Source: RNAcentral
CAGUCGCCGCGGUAAUACGUAGGGUGCAAGCGUUAAUCGGAAUUACUGGGCGUAAAGCGUGCGCAGGCGGUUUGUUAAGACAGAUGUGAAAUCCCCGGGCUUAACCUGGGAACUGCAUUUGUGACUGGCGGGCUAGAGUAUGGCAGAGGGGGGUAGAAUUCCACGUGUAGCAGUGAAGUGCGUAGAGAUGUGGAGGAAUACCGAUGGCGAAGGCAGCCCCCUGGGCCAAUACUGACGCUCAUGCACGAAAGCGUGGGGAGCAAACAGGAUUAGAUACCCCUGUAGUCCCUGUCUCUUAUAC